This 630-nucleotide ribosomal RNA is filed under the name Triticum aestivum (bread wheat). RNAcentral's name for it is "partial small subunit ribosomal RNA". Lineage: Eukaryota; Viridiplantae; Streptophyta; Magnoliopsida; Poales; Poaceae. The record is from RNAcentral.
AUGCAUCUUGCUGCCGCGGUGCCGCCGCCAUCCUCCGCCCCCUCCCCCUCCCCCGUCCCCGCUCCCCCAACUCCCCUCCCAUCGCCCACCCGCCUCGCCGUCGCUCUCGCGUUGCCGAUCUCGCCGCUGCCGCUGCUCGUCGUCGCCAUCGUCGAGAGGAGAGCGACAGGUGGACCAGGCGCGUCGCCAUCGACGGGAGAUGCGCAGGAACCGCCAGCGCUCCUCCGGCGACCAAUCCUUCUCUCUCGCCCAUCGUCGCGCCCCCGUCGUGCUCGUGCAUCACAUCAUCGGGAGGAGGGCAGAGAUGAUGGGAAGAAGAGGCAAGGUCGUAUGGUGGUGGGUAGGGGGGCUCAGGCGUCGCCAGAGAUAAAGGAAUGCCAUAAUGUUUUUUCUGCUGACUUCUCUCUUGCUGCUGCUGCAGGUUGUUGGCUCACCCACGCUGCCGGCGCUGAGGCGGAUGCCGAUGUCAUCGUUUCCUCUGGCCAGCUUUGCCCAUGUUUCUGGGGACGUUGCGCCCUCUACGGCCGGAAGCCCCUCGCCCUGGCGCCGCCACUACGUGCCGCCCCCAACGCCAACAUCGGUAUCUCUCUACUGAUCUCCUUUUUUGUGGCAUAUAUGCCAGGAAACUGA